GCGUCAAUAGCUCAGCGGUAGAGCGUAGGAUUGCAGUUGAAUCUGCAGCUAUCCCGAGGUCCCCGGUUCGAUCCCGGGUUGGCGCU
Molecule: transfer RNA, 86 nt
Filed under: Macrophomina phaseolina
Lineage: Eukaryota; Fungi; Ascomycota; Dothideomycetes; Botryosphaeriales; Botryosphaeriaceae
Also listed under: 1 other name
Description: tRNA-Cys
Rfam family: tRNA
About the family: Transfer RNA (tRNA) molecules are approximately 80 nucleotides in length.
Source: RNAcentral